This 61-nucleotide transfer RNA is filed under the name Diervilla lonicera. RNAcentral's name for it is "tRNA-Thr". It matches the Rfam family "tRNA", at positions 12 to 71 of the family's 71-position model. Rfam says of the family: Transfer RNA (tRNA) molecules are approximately 80 nucleotides in length. Their secondary structure includes four short double-helical elements and three loops (D, anti-codon, and T loops). Further hydrogen bonds mediate the characteristic L-shaped molecular structure. tRNAs have two regions of fundamental functional importance: the anti-codon, which is responsible for specific mRNA codon recognition, and the 3' end, to which the tRNAs corresponding amino acid is attached (by aminoacyl-tRNA synthetases). tRNAs cope with the degeneracy of the genetic code in two manners: having more than one tRNA (with a specific anti-codon) for a particular amino acid; and 'wobble' base-pairing, i.e. permitting non-standard base-pairing at the 3rd anti-codon position. The record is from RNAcentral. RNAcentral also lists the same sequence under 1 other name. Lineage: Eukaryota; Viridiplantae; Streptophyta; Magnoliopsida; Dipsacales; Caprifoliaceae.
UCAGCGGUAGAGAAACGCGAUAGUAAGGCGUAAGUCAUCGGUUCAAAUCCGAUAAGGGGCU